This 413-nucleotide ribosomal RNA is filed under the name uncultured bacterium. RNAcentral describes it as "bacterial SSU rRNA". It matches the Rfam family "Bacterial small subunit ribosomal RNA", at positions 355 to 766 of the family's 1533-position model. The record is from RNAcentral.
UAAGGAAUAUUGGUCAAUGGACGCAAGUCUGAACCAGCCAUGCCGCGUGAAGGAUGAAGGUCCUCUGGAUUGUAAACUUCUUUUAUCUGGGACGAAAACGGGAUUUUUAUCUCAAUUGACGGUACCAGAGGAAUAAGCACCGGCUAACUCCGUGCCAGCAGCCGCGGUAAUACGGAGGGUGCAAGCGUUAUCCGGAUUCACUGGGUUUAAAGGGUGCGUAGGUGGGCUUAUAAGUCAGUGGUGAAAUCUCCGAGCUUAACUUGGAAACUGCCGGUGAUACUAUAGGUCUUGAAUUAUCUGGAGGUAAGCGGAAUAUGUCAUGUAGCGGUGAAAUGCUUAGAUAUGACAUAGAACACCAAUUGCGAAGGCAGCUUACUACAUAUAAAUUUACGCUGAGGCACGAAAGCGUGGGG